Bos indicus x Bos taurus (hybrid cattle) is the source of this 418-nucleotide long non-coding RNA. Lineage: Eukaryota; Metazoa; Chordata; Mammalia; Artiodactyla; Bovidae. The record is from Ensembl.
CUGAUCACAGCGUGGAAAAUCUCAGCUUCCUGUUCCCAAAGCAAGCUGGGAGGUGAACUUGCCUGCACAGACAGUAUUUAAUUUGUGACGGCUUGAUGAGCCAGAGCACUCAACCUCUGAAGAACAGCCCUCGACCACUCACCUAAGAAGCAAAGCAUUUGGUGGGUAGCUGUGACCAGACUGGCUGGCAGCGCUAAUUAAAACAUUCAGCCCACGCAUAUGUAAAUCCAGAAACAGCAUGCCAGGGAAGAUAACUCCUGAUCCGAACUCAUCCCCAGAGCUUUUCCCAAACCCAGCUGUUUAGAAGCAAUCUGCAGCAUGGCCACUUGAUAAAAUUAUUUCUGUUUGGAUGUGAGAGGAGAGACCAGGGACCAGAAACAGUUUGGCACCAAGGAGCUGACCUGAAGAUGGAGUGGAU